RNAcentral lists this long non-coding RNA (559 nucleotides) under Salvia miltiorrhiza (redroot sage). RNAcentral describes it as "long non-coding RNA (SMIL_LNC014047)". Lineage: Eukaryota; Viridiplantae; Streptophyta; Magnoliopsida; Lamiales; Lamiaceae. The record is from RNAcentral.
UUUAGAUUGGCAAUUCCUCUCCUCCAUUAGAAUCCCGACUACUCGUCCUCUCCGAUUUUAUCAAUUUCUCAUUUUUCUCUGAUGUUCAAAUUUUAAGGGCGCCGUCGCGACCCCGACUGCGACUUCGACUCAUAGCGCCGCCCCUCCUCCAACACCUAUUGUAGCAGCAACCACAACGGAGAAAAGAAAAAGGGGAUGACCUAGAAAGAAUAGGAAAAUCGUUGCGCCCGAAUUAUUAUGUAUUACUAUCUAUCUAUAUCUGUUUAUUUCAAUGAAGUUAUUAAUGAUAUACAGGUUUAGAGGAACAUAGACUUGGUUUAUGAAGGUGGAAGCAUAGGAUUGAUGGUUUGAUUUUUCUCAAGCUGUGUAUAAUGGUGGCUACCACGUGUUGGGGUAAAUCAAAUUUUGGGAUAGUAGUUCUUUUGGCUUUUACCUAUAAUUCUUUAAUCUUUAAUUUUCUAUCUCUGUUGUUGGAUAUUUACUGAUUUUUUUUUUAAUUACUCUUUGAAUUUUUGGCAAACGGGUGGUGGGGUAGUAUAUGUGUGUAGCACAUUGAGCA